This 1143-nucleotide ribosomal RNA is filed under the name Triticum aestivum (bread wheat). Its description in RNAcentral is "partial small subunit ribosomal RNA". Lineage: Eukaryota; Viridiplantae; Streptophyta; Magnoliopsida; Poales; Poaceae. The record is from RNAcentral.
AUGGAUAUCCCUAGCUCAUUAAUUUCUUCCAUACUCAUGUCUAUGGUUGCGUCCAAUAUUACCAUCACCCCAGAAUCUGUUGCACAUAAAGCCUCCACCAUGGCAGACCACCUUCAAGUUCAGCAGAAACAGUUGGUACUACCGCCGGGGUUUAGGUUCCACCCGACGGAUGAGGAGAUCAUCAAAUUCUAUGUGGUCCCUAAGGUGCUCGAUGAAGCCUUCGUUGCCGCGGCGAUUGAGGAUGUGAACCUCAACAAGUACGAGCCAUGGGAGCUACCAGAGAAGGCGAAGAUGGGGGAGAAGGAGUGGUACUUUUACUCCCGAAAGGAUCGCAAGUACCCCACUGGGAUACGAACGAACCGGGCGACGGAGACCGGCUAUUGGAAGGCCACCGGAAAGGACAAGGAGAUCUUCCAGCCACCUUUCAAACUCAUCGGCAUGAAGAAGACACUCGUCUUCUACAAGGGUCGGGCGCCUAGGGGGGAGAAGACCAAUUGGAUCAUGCAUGAGUAUAGGCUCGAGAGCAGCAAGAAGCUGACAUCCAACCCAUCCAUCACCACCCGCACCGUCACCAGAACCAACAUGGCUUCCAAGGAACAGUGGGUGGUUUGCAGGAUCUUCCAUAAGAGCACCGGACUAAAGAAGAUGGUGACACCGUCAUAUGACAUGCCAAUGUACACAGGAGCAGAACAUCAGCAGGGCUUUGUCGACUUAGAUACAUUGCCUCCUCUCAUGGAAUAUGACAUGUCGUCAACAUGUGCGCAUGCACCGCUGUUUCCUGGAGCUUCUUCAUACAAGUCGCACGAUGUCGGAACUGGCUCAUCGAUGAUGGGCAGUGUGGCGCUUCCUAUUAUGAAUUACCACUACAUCGGGAACAACCACCAGCACCAAAUGAUGGUCAACCCAACACUGCCUCUGUCGCUCUACCAACACCAACAACAACAUCAACAGAUGAUGAUGCAUAUUGGUGCAGAUCAGGGUCUCAUGGUCGGGGCUCAACCUGGAGGUGGGUUGGCGUCGAUGCUGUCACAGGAGGAUGUUGUGGCCGGGCUAAGGAACAACUACCCAGGGAACACCGCUGCAACAGCAGUUGGCGAGACCUCAUUGAUGAACAUGGGUAUGGAUGACAUUUGGCAGAAUUGA